UACGGAGGGGGCAAGCGUUAUUCGGAAUUACUGGGCGUAAAGCGCGCGCAGGUGGUGUGGCAAGUGGCAGGUGAAAGCCCUGGGCUCAACGCAGGAACUGCCUGCCAAACUGCUGCGCUGGAGGCCGGGAGGGGAGAGCGGAAUUCCUGGUGUAGCGGUGAAAUGCGUAGCGACCAGGAGGAACACCGGUGGCGAAGGCGGGUCGCUGGCCCGGUUCUGACACUCAUGCGCCAAAGCGUGGGGAGCAAACAGG
Molecule: ribosomal RNA, 253 nt
Filed under: uncultured bacterium
Lineage: Bacteria
Description: partial 16S ribosomal RNA
Rfam family: Bacterial small subunit ribosomal RNA
Source: RNAcentral